RNAcentral lists this ribosomal RNA (443 nucleotides) under uncultured bacterium. RNAcentral's name for it is "partial 16S ribosomal RNA". It matches the Rfam family "Bacterial small subunit ribosomal RNA", at positions 338 to 795 of the family's 1533-position model. The record is from RNAcentral.
CCUACGGUGAGCAGCAGUGGGGAAUAUUGGGCAAUGGGCGCAAGCCUGACCCAGCAACGCCGCGUGAAGGAAGAAGGCUUUCGGGUUGUAAACUUCUUUUCUGAGGGACGAGGAAAGUGACGGUACCUCAGGAAUAAGCCACGGCUAACUACGUGCCAGCAGCCGCGGUAAUACGUAGGUGGCAAGCGUUAUCCGGCUUUAUUGGGUGUAAAGGGCGUGUAGGCGGGAAAGCAAGUCAGAUGUGAAAACUCAGGGCUCAACCCUGAGCCUGCAUUUGAAACUGUUUUUCUUGAGUGCUGGAGAGGCAAUCGGAAUUCCGUGGGUAGCGGUGAAAUGCGGAGAUAUACGGAGGAACACCAGUGGCGAAGGCGGAUUGCUGGACAGUAACUGACGCUGAGGCGCGAUAGCGUGGGGAGCAAACAGGAUUAGAUACCCCAGUAGUC